Long non-coding RNA from Musa acuminata AAA Group (dessert banana), 2224 nucleotides. RefSeq lists it as uncharacterized. The record is from RefSeq and is a predicted model, not a curated record. The transcript has 3 exons. NCBI's taxonomy places the organism in Eukaryota, Viridiplantae, Streptophyta, Magnoliopsida, Zingiberales, Musaceae.
CCUCGUCUAAGCCACAAGGCGGACAGAUGUGUCUUCUCAUUGGCUAUUAUAUGUGGGUUCCAGUAGCUUAGAGGGCAGGGAUGGAACAUUUGCCUGCCCCACCGAAGGCAUGUCGUGAUAGCUGCGAUCGCAUCAGACCCGGUUCCUCUUUUCUCGACUUCUCUCUCUCUCUCUCUCUCUCUCUCUCUCGACGAUCCAGUCCACUGUUGCGCUCGUUGUCGCCAAAUGGAUGAGAACAAUCAGCGGAUUGAUGCACAAGAUGCAUAACCGGUUUCUUUUUCUUCGUGCCGAGAGGCCUUCAAGAUGUUCCAUUGCUUUCAAUACCAAAAGGUGCUAAGGAAUGCUGAGCCAGACUUCAAGGUGUUCCAUUGAUUGUUAUAAGGCUCUACCAGAAGCAUUCUCAUGGACAGCACCAACCGAAUGAAGAAAGAGUAUCAUCUCUUCCCAUAUGUGCAAAUGGCGUUAAGAUGAGCAUUGACUCAAGUGCAUCACUCUCUGUUUCUGACACUAAUCCUGGCUUGCAAUACAUGGCAAAGAGGAAUGCACACUGGAAUCUGCAACAAAACAAGGACCUUUCUGCAUCUCUCUCAUGCGUUCCAAGAUAUUCAUACAAAUGGUUAAUAUGUGCUGGGGAUAUCCAGAGAGCCACACAGAACUUUACAACAGUUUUAGGACAACAAUCUUUUGGGCCAUUAUAUCAAGCUACAAUUCCAACAGGUGAAUUGGUAGCUGUUAAGGCGCUUGCAGGUAAUUCAAUCCAAGGAAAAAAGAGUUACCAACAGAGGUAUACUGCUCAGUUUUUGGACUGAAAUUGCAUGAAUGAGUUUGCUAACAUAAACUGAAAAUGUCUUCUAUUAUGGUUUUAAGUUUGUUUUAGUGAGAUAAAAUUACUACUGGCAUCAAUCUGAAUUAAUACAUGAGUGAAAGCCACGAAAUCAGGCAGAAAGCUAUUUUGGAACAAUUAGACAGCUAGAUAAUCAUGUUAACCUAACUAUUUGAUUGUGUCAGAACAUAAAUAAAUCAAGUAAAUCUGGGCACACUCUCUCUCCUAUGUCUCAUGUAGGCAACCCAGUUGAUUAGACUCACACACACAUAUCCUCAAUCAAGAUCAUAAAAGGAAAAUAAAUAAACUAAUAAAUAAGAAUAUCAUCUUAGAGAAGUAAAGUAAGAUAGGGAUAGGACAACUAGGCCAUACUCUUCAAAACACAUAAUUUCAUUUAUGCAAGUUAUGAUUGUAUAUAGACUCAUAAGAUGUUCAUGUAGGAAGAUUUUUCAAUUAGACUAACACUCAUCUUCCUAAAAUUUUAUCUGAAGAGAUGAUAGUAAAUGUCAUAUGUCACCAAAAAUUCUAUCCAAAAGAAAUGUGUGGAAUGUUCAAACAUGACCCUAAUAGCUUAAACUCUUCCAAAUUUAUCUGUGUCCAUGAUAGGGGACUCAAACUAAAGAAUUUAAUUAAAAAAAAGUGUAAAUAUGACCUAAAAUAGGAAUUAACAAUAUGGACAAAAAAAAAUCCAAAAAGGUAAGAAAAUUAAAAGAAAACCCAAGCUAGACUCACAGAAGUCUUAAGUCAACCUAAAUAUGCCCAAACUAGACUAACCUAAGACUAGAUGUCUCAUGAUCAAUAAGAAGAAGCAUUAUGCGUGUAUAAAAACAACGAAUCAUGUCUCAUGAUGUACUUACUAUGUUGGGUGUGGUUUGAGCAAAUGCAACUUCCUCGUGCUUAAUGUAUCGGCACAGCAGGUCCCAGCCAGGCAGGCAGUCCCCAUCAUCGACUGUCAACUCCUACCAUCUGUCUUCUUCUUAUCUUCGAGUCGUAGCAGCUGCAGCAACAGCAGCAGCAGCAGCUCCACCUGAAACUGACUCACCACCUACUCUCAUUAAGACAAGGAAGAAAGGGGAACAUCCACGACGUGCCCGACUCGGUAACCUACAGCUUCGUGAUGGCGAAGCUUACCUCAUACUCUCUCCACUUUCCAUGUCGCUGCCACCAACCCAACCACCCUUUCUGGCUUAAGAAAGUACGCCACUUGGCUCCUCGCAUGGUGGUGCAAGUGCAAACACAUGAUCACAGGGGAACACGCGACAUGGGUUGUGCCUUAAGUGUUCAGCAUCAAUCAUAGAGAUGCAGCUGAGGAUGGGAGGUGGGCUUCCACCAUCUUCCAGUCCUUCUGUGCCUUGAUCCCGACUCAACAUGGAUGUUUCCUGAAGACGAAAAAGAAAGACA